UACGGAGGGAGCUAGCGUUGUUCGGAAUUACUGGGCGUAAAGCGCACGUAGGCGGCUUUGUAAGUUAGAGGUGAAAGCCCGGGGCUCAACUCCGGAACUGCCUUUAAGACUGCAUCGCUUGAAUCCAGGAGAGGUGAGUGGAAUUCCGAGUGUAGAGGUGAAAUUCGUAGAUAUUCGGAAGAACACCGGUGGCGAAGGCGGCUCACUGGACUGGUAUUGACGCUGAGGUGCGAAAGCGUGGGGAGCAAACAGG
Molecule: ribosomal RNA, 253 nt
Filed under: uncultured bacterium
Lineage: Bacteria
Description: partial 16S ribosomal RNA
Rfam family: Bacterial small subunit ribosomal RNA
Source: RNAcentral